CUAGACAAUAUUUGACUGUCAGUUUCAGUCAAGCUAACUGGACUUAUAAUUUUAAUUAACAGAGUACACUGAAUCAUGGAAUCAUGCCAGUGAAUCUAUCUUCUGUAAACAAGGCUAGUGAGUCUGGCAGACUUCUGUAAAAGAAAUCAGACAAACCUUGAUGUGUACCCUUGAAUCAGUUCAGGUUUUAGUAUUCAGGGAUGUAUUUGUGAACUGGAUAAUUGAGAGAGACACUGGAAGUCUAAACAAGAUUGAAAAUACAAUACAGUAUUCUGGGAAGUAUGAAAUAACAUCAACCUUCAAGUAUGACAAAUGUUCGUGAAACCUGGAGAGCAUGUCACCUUGGUACAUUGUCCUUGGGAGGGAAGGACAAACAAAGCAAGGUGAGAUGGGAAGCAAAAGGGAAU
RNAcentral lists this long non-coding RNA (407 nucleotides) under Phasianus colchicus (ring-necked pheasant). RNAcentral describes it as "lncRNA (ENSPCLG00000002503.1)". The record is from RNAcentral. Lineage: Eukaryota; Metazoa; Chordata; Aves; Galliformes; Phasianidae.